CUAAUGUCAAUAAACCGGAUAUUAGAUUGAUUCGGUUGGAAGGGGAAAAGAUCAAUUUCUCUCUCUUCUCUCUCUUCAAUUAUUCAGAGAGAGGAACACGAUCUUUGUUUCUCCAUCCGGUUUGUUUACUAGUUUUGUCUCUGGUAUGGUUCAGCUUUGUCUCCGGCGAGGUCCGGCUUUGUUUCGGCUAUCUGUUGCCGCUUUUUGUUUUUUCUGUUGAAUAAAUUAUGCGAUCUAUGUUAGUGUUGUGGUUUUAGGUGAUUCGUCUUUGCCUAAACACAAUUCUCUCCAACAUAAGAUUGAUGAAUAUGAUGCUUGAGUUCGUGAACCGUUGACGUUUAAUUGGGAAGAUUUUGAAGUUGAAUUUCCAUGAAGUUGAAGAUUUGUUUUUAGAGCUUUGGAAUUGACAAUUGCUAUCACCGGAUUCAACAUGCAUAUCGCGGCGUUCUGGGUUUCAAUGGAGUCGACAAUCUUCUUCGGCGGCGACCAGUGAUUCUCCGAUCUUCUUCUUCUCACGUGUCUUCAGCACCUAACCUUUUCAUGACACGUGUUUUAGGUUCUGUUUCAAUGAUUCUUCUUUCUUCCUGAUGCGGUUUCCUACUUGGGCUUCAUAGUUGGGCUUGAAAAGUCUUACACUUAUGUUUAGUUGAAUUUGGCUCUGUUGUUUGUCUCAAACUUUGGCUUAUGUUGAUAUAACAAAAUGGACACUCUUGUGAC
RNAcentral lists this small RNA (717 nucleotides) under Arabidopsis thaliana (thale cress). Its description in RNAcentral is "ncRNA (AT5G48412)". The record is from RNAcentral. Lineage: Eukaryota; Viridiplantae; Streptophyta; Magnoliopsida; Brassicales; Brassicaceae.